RNAcentral lists this ribosomal RNA (465 nucleotides) under Vreelandella stevensii. RNAcentral describes it as "partial 16S ribosomal RNA". It matches the Rfam family "Bacterial small subunit ribosomal RNA", at positions 338 to 795 of the family's 1533-position model. Lineage: Bacteria; Pseudomonadati; Pseudomonadota; Gammaproteobacteria; Oceanospirillales; Halomonadaceae. The record is from RNAcentral.
CCUACGGGUGGCUGCAGUGGGGAAUAUUGGACAAUGGGCGAAAGCCUGAUCCAGCCAUGCCGCGUGUGUGAAGAAGGCCUUCGGGUUGUAAAGCACUUUCAGUGGGGAAGAAAGCCUUGGGGCUAAUACCCUCGAGGAAGGACAUCACCCACAGAAGAAGCACCGGCUAACUCCGUGCCAGCAGCCGCGGUAAUACGGAGGGUGCGAGCGUUAAUCGGAAUUACGGGGCGUAAAGCGCGCGUAGGCGGUCUGAUAAGCCGGUUGUGAAAGCCCCGGGCUCAACCUGGGAACGGCAUCCGGAACUGUCAGGCUAGAGUGCAGGAGAGGAAGGUAGAAUUCCCGGUGUAGCGGUGAAAUGCGUAGAGAUCGGGAGGAAUACCAGUGGCGAAGGCGGCCUUCUGGACUGACACUGACGCUGAGGUGCGAAAGCGUGGGUAGCAAACAGGAUUAGAUACCCGAGUAGUC